CCUUCUUCAGCGAUGACCCAGAACUGGACAAUCUGAUGGUGAAGGCAAUCCAGGUCCUGAGAAUCCACCUGCUGGAGCUGGAGAAAGUCAAUGAACUCUGCAAGGACUUUUGUAACCGUUACAUCACCUGCCUCAAAACCAAGAUGCACAGCGAUAACCUGCUCAGGAAUGAUCUAGGGGGGCCCUACUCCCCCAACCAGCCCUCCAUCAACCUUCACUCACAGGAAACCAAGAGAAUUGCCUUCUGGACCUGGGUCUGGGGAGGAGCUAGAAGGAGGGAGGGGGGCAGGCAGGAAGGGGAAAGGACAGAAGAGGACUCUGGGGCUGUAGGGUCUAAGCUCUCAGUGUCAUUGUCACAAACCACGCCUCCCUCACUGCCAGGACCUCCUGCAGAAUUCCCCCAAUUCCAUGUCUGGAGUCUCCAAUAACCCCCAGGGGAUUGUGGUCCCAGCCUCAGCGCUCCAGCAGGGCAACAUCGCCAUGACGACCGUCAACUCACAAGUCGUGUCAGGUCGGUGCAAAGACCGGGAAGGGGGAUUGUGGGAAUUCCCUGGGAGGAGAAAGGGUGGCCCCAAGGUGGUUCCAGGGGUGGGGGUUGUCCUCCACCGAGGGAGGGGCUCCCAGCUCAGUUUCUUGACUAAAGUUUUCUGUAAGUUUAUAGAUGGUUAGCACCAAGACCCAAUUGUGAUGGUUUAGAACAAAUUUGGGUCAAAAUCUCAUGAGCCCCUGAGAGGACCAAGUAAGGCUGUUGUCCCUUCCCCGAAGCACCUCCCACCAGAGGCUCUGCCCUAGGCUCUAGACACCAUCCCCCACCCACCCAUAAAGCAGAAGAGCCAUAGCUCGCUACCCAAGGGCUCCAAAGUAGAGGGUCUUUACACGUGAGUGCCAAAUGAACUGGGAACCCUGCUUGCCCUCGCUCCUACCCACUCCCAUGGCAGGGAACCCCAAAACUGGUUGUCUCCUCAGGUGGAGCCUUAUACCAACCGGUUACCAUGGUAACCUCCCAGGGUCAGGUGGUCACCCAAGCAAUCCCCCAGGGAGCCAUCCAGAUCCAGAACACACAGGUGAGUGUGUGUAGGUGUGUGCACAUGUGCAUGGUGUGGGCUAGGGCACCUGUAAUCGCUUCUUAUCUGCCAGGCACUUUACACGAGUGACUCAUUGAAUCCUCAUCAUCCUCUAAGCGGUAUCAUUACCCUACUUUGCAGAUAAGAAGCUGGGUCUUGGAAAGGUUUUAUCAACUCCUGGGAUUUUGCUGCCUCCCUCCUGGGGUUACAUCAAAGGAUCCUGCACUUCCUAUUCCUGUCUGCAGACUGAGCCGCUGUGUCCCUCAGUGGUAGAGAGUGCACACACAAAGGAAGAGUAGAAAGAUGGGAAGUCAGAGUCUGGGAUCUGACAUUAACUGUGGGAUCUCGAAUAAGUCACCUAACCUCUCUGAGCCUCAGACUUCUUAUUGAUAAAAGGGGGAUUAAUAGCAACUGCACACAGCCUAGCCAACCUACAGGGCUGCUGUGAGAAUGAACCACGGCGAUGGAUAGGAAAGUGCUUUGCAAACUGUAAAGUACCACAGAAAUGCUGAUAACUACUUGACAGCUUAUGGCAAAUUCAUAUCUUCUACUGUUCUCUCUGCAUGGCCCUGUUUCCUCUUUCUCUCUUUCUCUCUCUCUCUCUCUCCCUCCCUCUCCCUCCCUCUCCCCCUUCCCCAUCUCUUCCUCCUUGUCCUUCUUCCCUUCUCCCAUCACCCAAGCCUCACCUCCACUCUCUGAGGGGCUGGCAUGGGCUGAGAGGGAAAGGUGACCUCCCCAGGGCCCUAGGAAUAAGCCGGGAAAGGGGCUGGCAGCCGAGCCUGCCGUCGCUAUGGCAACAGGUCCCCAGCCGCUAGCCUCACAGUCUGCUGAUGCUGAUUUUCUCUCCACGUGCCCUGAAGGUUAACCUUGACCUCACCUCCCUCCUGGACAAUGAGGAUAAGAAGUCCAAGAACAAACGAGGAGUCUUGCCCAAGCAUGCCACCAAUAUAAUGCGUUCUUGGCUCUUCCAGCAUCUCAUGCACCCCUACCCCACGGAGGAUGAGAAGAGGCAGAUCGCAGCCCAGACCAACCUCACCCUCCUGCAAGUAAACAACUGGUUCAUCAAUGCCCGGAGGCGCAUCCUGCAGCCCAUGCUUGAUGCCAGCAACCCAGAUCCUGCCCCCAAAGCCAAGAAGAUCAAGUCCCAGCACCGGCCCACCCAAAGAUUCUGGCCCAACUCCAUCGCUGCGGGGGUGCUGCAGCAGCAGGGCGGUGCCCCAGGGACAAACCCCGAUGGUUCCAUCAACUUAGACAACCUGCAGUCCCUGUCCUCAGACAAUGCCACCAUGGCCAUGCAGCAGGCUAUGAUGGCUGCACACGAUGACUCAUUGGAUGGGACAGAAGAAGAGGAUGAGGAUGAGAUGGAAGAGGAGGAGGAGGAGGAGCUGGAGGAGGAGGUCGAUGAGCUGCAGACGACGAAUGUCAGCGACCUGGGCUUGGAACACAGUGACUCCCUGGAGUAGUCGGGCAGCCCAGAUGGCACUGAUCACCGAGCAGGAGAGGAGUGUCGCCGGGAGGCCUUCAGGGUGGGGGGGAAGGGGACAUGGGCAGGAAGCACUGAGGGAGUUGGGCCCUAGCUUCCCCAAAUCAGUAGCUUGAAGAAAGGCAGAGGAGACACCUGUUCCUUCCCAACCACCGAGCUUCAAUGAGGACCCCAGCCCCACUUCCCUGGAACUGCCGAGGACUCUGUUUGGCGGGGCCAGUCGAGCAGCCUGUAUGGAAAGACAGGACUGAGAUCUGGACUCACCAAAUCCCUGAGGACAGAUGGCACCCAUGGCCCCCACCCACGGAAGGACUUGAGUUGUUUACAAGCCCUGCACUGUGAGGCAGAUUGGUGCUGUUCGCAGAGUAGGCCUUUGCCCGGGGGCAGACUUAGAAGGAAGGGGAGAGACAAAGGGGGACUGAGUUUCAUCCCCAGAAGGUUCUCAGCUCCUUUGACAGACAUUCAAGGGCAGGAGGGAGCCCCAAAGCAUAACCAGUGGCCAGAGGAGUGGGAGGGCCUGAGGCAUCACAUCUUGCAGAUCAGAAUGGGAUGGAAUCCACCGGGCUCCAGCUCAUCCCUCCAAGGCCCUGUCUCUGCGCACAGCAACCAUGGACAUGGGAGAGAGGGAUGGGAGCCACAGUGCCCUUCACUCUCUCCUGGAAAUAAAUUGUAAGCUGGUGGGCUCAACCUGUGGGAGGUUAAGAGGAGUCCCUUCUGGGUUGACUCCAGGAGCCAAGGAGAUGGCAGACCCUGGGCUAGGAGCCAUAUCGAGGUGACUUUGAGGCCACAGCUGUCCCUAGGUGGUCACAGAACUUAGCUCCUGUAACAACAGGACAAUGGUGUUUUACCCUAGAUGUUCCCACCCUCAGCACUCCACGCCCCCCAUAGACCUUCAGAGAAGGCGAAACCAGGUUAUCUGGGAAUCUUUCCACCCCGCAGGUCGCCACGGCCGUCCCUCUGCUCCCAGGCUGGCUCCAUCCGCCUCCAGGUUCCUUUCUUCAUUCUGUCCUUCAGGGAAGGCAGAAGAAACAUUGGAAAGCAUCUAGUCCAGUGGGAAGCCAGGGGUUGGAGAAGGUGCUACAUCCCUCUUCCCAUCAAUAUCCCAAAUGUGGGGGAGGUCCCAGAGAAUGGCACCCAAGAGCCUGUGGGAAUGCCCACCCCACCCACCCCAUCCACCCUGCUGUUCUAACCCUGCUGUCCACAGCCCUGGAGGAACUGGGGCUCCUGGAAAGAGGAGGAGGCUCUCCACUGUCCACCCUAACACAUACCCUCCCACCCACCUUCCAUACCCCCUUGGUUGGCACGCUCUCCUCUCGUUCUGUCUCACCCCAUGGCUGUGAAUGACAGGACAGGUCACACGUGUGUUUUCCAUUGGGUUUAAUUUAAUGGACGUGCAGUUUCAUUUGUAAAUUGUGCAUUAGCCAUCUCCUUCAGUGGCAGGAUGUGAGUGGCUACCUGGCUCAACUGGAGGGGACCCUCGGGGCCCUCUGGGGCUUCCCCUCCCCCACCUGGUUGGGGUAGAGCAAAAGGAUGGUCACUCUUCCGAGGUCUCCCUGAAAUGAAUGUAUUUCUCCCCCCAAAAGAGCUGAUAUUUAAUGUUUUAAUAGGGAUUUUUGAGAAACAAAUAACCUUAUUUAUAAUCUGGGUGAUCCAAUCAUUUUUUACUCCCUUUUGAUGCCAUACAUAGAGGAAAGUCUAGCUUUUUUGGCGUGAGACUUUUGGAAUGUGCAGUGGGAUAAAAUGCGUUUCCUUUUCUGGUUCGUUUUUCUUGUUAACACGCGCACAGACACACACACACACACACCACACCACACACACCACACACACACACACCACCGUUCCACUCACCACCUGGACAGGCGUCCCCCAGCACGGACACACUGGCACACAGGUGCCCACAUCUCUUCCUCUCAUCCCCUCCACCUGCCUAAUGUUAUGCAACCUCCUUCUGAUGUAUCCACCAAACCAGUACUGAAUGUGGCCGAGACGUUUUCAGUAAAUCUGAUUACCUACCGU
This 4563-nucleotide small RNA is filed under the name Pongo abelii (Sumatran orangutan). RNAcentral's name for it is "retained intron". The record is from RNAcentral. Lineage: Eukaryota; Metazoa; Chordata; Mammalia; Primates; Hominidae.